This 253-nucleotide ribosomal RNA is filed under the name uncultured bacterium. RNAcentral's name for it is "partial 16S ribosomal RNA". It matches the Rfam family "Bacterial small subunit ribosomal RNA", at positions 524 to 776 of the family's 1533-position model. The record is from RNAcentral.
GACGUAGGGCGCAAGCGUUGUCCGGAUUUAUUGGGCGUAAAGAGCUCGUAGGCGGCUUGUUGCGUCGGCUGUGAAAACCCGCGGCUUAACUGUGGGCUUGCAGCCGAUACGGGCGGGCUGGAGUUCGGUAGGGGAGAUCGGAAUUCCUGGUGUAGCGGUGAAAUGCGCAGAUAUCAGGAGGAACACCGGUGGCGAAGGCGGAUCUCUGGGCCUUGCCUGACGCUGAGGCGCGAAAGCUAGGGGAGCGAACAGG